RNAcentral lists this ribosomal RNA (460 nucleotides) under uncultured bacterium. RNAcentral describes it as "partial 16S ribosomal RNA". It matches the Rfam family "Bacterial small subunit ribosomal RNA", at positions 338 to 795 of the family's 1533-position model. The record is from RNAcentral.
CCUACGGGUGGCUGCAGUGAGGAAUAUUUGUCAAUGGGCGCGAGCCUGAACCAGCCAAGUCGCGUGAAGGAUGACUGCCCUUCGGGUUGUAAACCUCUUUUAUAAAGGAACAAAGUGAGGCACGUGUGCCACUUUGUAAGUACUUUACGAACACGGAUCGGCUAACUCCGUGCCAGCAGCCGCGGUAAUACGGAGGCUGCGAGCGUUAUCCGGAUUUAUUGGGUGUAAAUGUCGCGUAGAUGGGUUGUUAAGUCAGUUGUGAAAGUUUGGGGCUCAACCGUAGAAUUGCAGUUGAUACUGGCAGUCUUGAGUACAGGUGAGGUAGGCGGAAUUCGUGGUGUAGCGGUGAAAUGCGUAGAUAUCACGAAGAACUCCGAUUGCGAAGGCAGCUUACUAGACUGCCACUGACGUUGAUGCACGAAAGUGUGGGUAGCGAACAGGAUUAGAUACCCCUGUAGUC